Molecule: long non-coding RNA, 366 nt
Organism: Hyaena hyaena (striped hyena)
Lineage: Eukaryota; Metazoa; Chordata; Mammalia; Carnivora; Hyaenidae
Exons: 3
Source: RefSeq, a predicted model, not a curated record
CCCGCCCACAGGGCGAAGUUCCACCCACCACGGGAAAUCCCGCCCCAAGAGCAUCCCUAACCGUCCUCCGGGGGAUUGUGAAUUUGUACUCCGCUCCGGCAAAACGGAGGCAUUGGAGACGCAGCCAAGUCUGGACUACAGGGCUGUGGGCACAGUCACCUGGGAGAGAAGAUGUGUGCACACGGAGUAAUCAUUCAUGACAGAAACUGCAACCCUGCUGUGCUGAAAUCCUACUAAGAAUUCCAUGGGCAUCUAUAUUUUAAUAAAACCAAAAACUGCUGAGGACUAAAAGUUCUCACAAACAUCUGGCUCCUGAAAGAGUUUUGUUUUUCUUUUGGAUUAGAAAAGUCAUGAAGAGUCAAUGUA